This 710-nucleotide long non-coding RNA is filed under the name Mytilus galloprovincialis (Mediterranean mussel). Lineage: Eukaryota; Metazoa; Mollusca; Bivalvia; Mytilida; Mytilidae. The record is from RNAcentral.
GCCCCUUAUUCCUAAACUGUUGGGACCAAAACUCCCAAAAUCAAACCCAACCUUCCUUUUAUGGUCAUAAACCUUGUGUUUAAAUUUCAUAGAUUUCUAUUUACUUAAACUUAAGUUAUGGUGCGAAAACCAAGAAUAAUGCUUAUUUGGGCCCCUUUUUGGCCCCUAAUUCCUAAACUGUUGGGACCUCAACUCCCAAAAUCAAUCCCAACCUUCCUUUUGAGGUCAUAAACCUUGUGUUUAAAUUUCAUAGAUUUCUAUUUACUUAUACUUAAGUUAUGGUGCGAAAACCAAGAAUAAUGCUUAUUUGGGCCCCUUUUUGGCCCCUAAUUCCUAAACUGUUGGGACCUCAACUCCCAAAAUCAAUCCCAACCUUCCUUUUGUGGUCAUAAACCUUGUGUUUCAAUUUCACUGAUUUCUAUUUACUUUUACUAAAGUUAUUGUGCGAAAACCAAGAAUAAUGCUUAUUUGGGCCCUUUUUUGGCCCGUAAUUCCUAAAAUGUUGGGACCAAAACUCCCAAAAUCAAUCCCAACCUUCCUUUUGUGGUCAUAAACCUUGUGUCAAAAUUUCAUUGAUUUCUAUUUCCUUUUACUAAAGUUAGAGUGCAAAAACUAAAAGUAUUCGGACGACGACGACGCAAGACGACGACGACGCCAACGUGAUAGCAAUAUACAACGAAAAAUUAAAAUUUUUGCGGUCGUAUAAAAAU